AAGCUGUCUUGUCGAUGGUCUCACUGAUGCCUCUUCUGCAUUCAAAGUUCCUCGACCCGGGCCAGAUACACUCCAGUUCACAGUAGAUGUCUUCCACUUUGCUAAUGACUCCAGAAACAUGUGACAGAAGAAGCAGAUGUCACCGUGGGGCCACUGAUCUUCCUGGACAGGAGUGGUGACUAUGAAGUAGAGCAGUGGGCCUUGCCUUCUGACACCUCAGUGGUGCUGCUGGGUAUAGGCCUGGCCGUGGUGGCAUCCCUGACUCUGACUGCUGUUAUCCUGGUUCUCACCAGGAGGUGUCGCACUGCCUCCCGCCCUGUGUCUGCUUCCGAAUAAAAGAAGAAAGCAAUA
Molecule: small RNA, 351 nt
Filed under: Pongo abelii (Sumatran orangutan)
Lineage: Eukaryota; Metazoa; Chordata; Mammalia; Primates; Hominidae
Description: processed transcript
Source: RNAcentral